AGAGUUUGAUCCUGGCUCAGGACGAACGCUGGCGGCGUGCUUAACACAUGCAAGUCGAACGGACGAGUGAGAUAAGUUUACUUAACUCACAAGUUAGUGGCGGACGGGUGAGUAACACGUGGAUAAUCUACCUGCAACACCGGGAUAACGCUGUGAAAACGGUGCUAAUACCGGAUACGUUCCCUUGUGCGUAUGUAUGAGGGAAGAAAGUUUAGGCGGUUGCAGAUGAGUCCGCGGCUGAUUAGCUGGUUGGUGAGGUAAAGGCUCACCAAGGCGAUGAUCAGUAGCCGGCCUGAGAGGGUGAACGGCCACACUGGGACUGAGACACGGCCCAGACUCCUACGGGAGGCAGCAGUGGGGAAUCUUCCGCAAUGGGCGCAAGCCUGACGGAGCAACGCCGCGUGGGUGAAGAAGGCCUUCGGGUUGUAAAGCCCUGUCUUAUGGGAAGAAGUCAGUGACGG
Molecule: ribosomal RNA, 461 nt
Filed under: uncultured prokaryote
Description: bacterial SSU rRNA
Rfam family: Bacterial small subunit ribosomal RNA
Source: RNAcentral